RNAcentral lists this ribosomal RNA (445 nucleotides) under uncultured bacterium. RNAcentral's name for it is "bacterial SSU rRNA". It matches the Rfam family "Bacterial small subunit ribosomal RNA", at positions 330 to 792 of the family's 1533-position model. The record is from RNAcentral.
UCCAGACUCCUACGGGAGGCAGCAGUGAGGAAUAUUGGGCAAUGGCGGCAACUCUGACCCAGCCAUGCCGCGUGAGUGAAGAAGGUUUUCGGAUUGUAAAGCUCUUUCGGAUGUGACGAUGAUGACGGUAGCAUCUAAAGAAGCCCCGGCUAACUACGUGCCAGCAGCCGCGGUAAUACGUAGGGGGCAAGCGUUAUCCGGAUUUACUGGGUGUAAAGGGAGCGUAGACGGCCAGACAAGUCAGAAGUGAAAGCCCAGGGCUCAACCCUGGGACUGCUUUUGAAACUGCCGGGCUGGAGUGCAGGAGAGGUAAGCGGAAUUCCUAGUGUAGCGGUGAAAUGCGUAGAUAUUAGGAGGAACACCAGUGGCGAAGGCGGCUUACUGGACUGUAACUGACGUUGAGGCUCGAAAGCGUGGGGAGCAAACAGGAUUAGAUACCCUAGUU